This 530-nucleotide long non-coding RNA is filed under the name Heterocephalus glaber (naked mole-rat). Its description in RNAcentral is "lncRNA (ENSHGLG00100043885.1)". The record is from RNAcentral. Lineage: Eukaryota; Metazoa; Chordata; Mammalia; Rodentia; Bathyergidae.
GCUAUACUUACUUUUCUGGGUCCCGAAAGUUCGACCGUUCUAACCUUCUGACGAGGAGACGCGUCCGAUCCCAAAGUGUCGAAGGCCUUCCCUUUGGAGAGGCCCCUCGAUGUGGAAAAUCAUGUCCCAAAGUGUUUUCUUGGAGUCCAGGAAUGUUCCACCUAUCGGUAUGGCAUGGCAAGAGCCACUCUCCUCGUUGAGCAUAUUCCCAAAGAGCCAACCGGAACCCUAGGGCCUUGGAGCUGGCUCCCAGCUCCUACUCCCCUAGGCUGACUUGCUCCCCAGGUGCCAGGCAGCAUGCAACCCAUUUGAGGGGCAAAGAGGCGAGGCGAGCCGGCGCGGGCAUUUAGCUCCGUGGUUCCGGCGCCGGCCUCGCAAGCGCAAGGGCCCGAGUUCGAGUCCCCGCGCGAAACAAGCCCGGGAAAAAAAAAAAAAAAAAAAAAAAAUGAAGGCGACCGUAAUUCUUCGUUUUUGGUUUUUCGGUUUCUGUUCUUUUGGGGUGUUUUUCCUUUUCUGCCGGGGAUCGACCU